AAGGGAGAGGAAUAAGUAGAAAUCUACCAUUGGAUCGGGGAUAGCGGCGGGAAACUGCCGGUAAUACCCGAUAACGUCUUUGGACCAAAGGUGUGAUUCCGUCUGAGGAUGAGUCUACUUCCUAUUAGCUAGUUGGCGGGGUAAUGGCCCACCAAGGCAACGAUGGGUAGCAGGUGUGAGAGCAUGACCUGCCUCAUUGGGACUGAGACACUGCCCAGACACCUACGGGUGGCUGCAGUCGAGAAUCUUCGGCAAUGGACGAAAGUCUGACCGAGCGACGCCGCGUGCGGGAUGAAGGCCUUCGGGUUGCAAACCGCUGUCGGAGGGGAACAAAUGUACGGGGGUUCUCCCCUGUAUUUGAGUGAACCUAGGAGGAAGGAGAGGCUAAGCUCGUGCCAGCAGCCGCGGUAAGACGAGCUCUCCGAACGUUAUUCGGUAUCACUGGGCUUAAAGAGUUCGUAGGCGGUCUGGUAGGUGAGGUGUGAAAUCCCCCGGCUCAACCGGGGAACUGCGCUUCAAACCGCCGGACUUGAGGGAGACAGAGGUGGGCGGAACAGAUGGUGGAGCGGUGAAAUGCGUUGA
This 582-nucleotide ribosomal RNA is filed under the name uncultured bacterium. RNAcentral describes it as "bacterial SSU rRNA". It matches the Rfam family "Bacterial small subunit ribosomal RNA", at positions 102 to 694 of the family's 1533-position model. The record is from RNAcentral.